AGAGAGACAGGAACCGAAGUCGGACAUAGAUGUAAGAAACAGUCUCUUCACUUUUUCUUCUUUUCUUCUCUUUUCCUUCCGUAUAUGUUUCUGUUCAUUUCAAUGGACGUUUGGGACUUGCCUGCAGAGAUGAGCGAAAAAAGUAUCAAAAGAUCGAGACGUUCUGAAAGAAAGGAGAAGGAACGGCAAUCAAU
This 194-nucleotide non-coding RNA is filed under the name Chromera velia. The record is from RNAcentral. Lineage: Eukaryota; Chromeraceae.